This is a non-coding RNA of Pterocles gutturalis (yellow-throated sandgrouse), 44 nucleotides long. The record is from Rfam. NCBI's taxonomy places the organism in Eukaryota, Metazoa, Chordata, Aves, Pterocliformes, Pteroclidae.
ACAUCGGCUUGAUUAAAGCCACCAAUUCUAAAUUAAAAAAGAAA